RNAcentral lists this ribosomal RNA (1568 nucleotides) under Grammomys dolichurus (South African thicket rat). RNAcentral describes it as "16S ribosomal RNA". It matches the Rfam family "Bacterial large subunit ribosomal RNA". Lineage: Eukaryota; Metazoa; Chordata; Mammalia; Rodentia; Muridae. The record is from RNAcentral.
ACUAACCCUAGCCCUAUUAACAAUAAACAUAGCCAUAUUCUUAAAUAGACCAAAACAUUUAAUAUAAUAAAGUAUUGGAGAAAAAAAUUAAAUACAGGAGCUAUAGAGUAAGUACCGCAAGGGAAAGAUGAAAGAAUAAUAAAAAGUAUAAAUAAGCAAAGAUUAAACCUUGUACCUUUUGCAUAAUGAAUUAACUAGAAGUACUCUAACUAAAAGAAUUAAAGCUAGAAACCCCGAAACCAAGCGAGCUACCUAAAAACCAACUUUAUGAGAAAACCCGUUUAUGUAGCAAAAUAAUGGGAUGAUUUUCAGGUAGAGGUGAAAAGCCUAUCGAGCCUGGUGAUAGCUGGUUACCCAAAAACGAAUUUCAGUUCAACUUUAAACUUACCGCAAGGAUACAAAUAAUCUUCAUGUAAGUUUAAAUUAUAGCCAAAAGAGGGACAGCUCUUUAGGAAUGGAAAAAACCUUUAAUAGUGAAUAAACAUAUUUACAUUUUCAUAACCAUUGUAGGCCUAAAAGCAGCCACCAACAAAGAAAGCGUUCAAGCUCAACAUAUAAAUUAAAUUAAUCCAAAAAUUAACAAUAAAUUCCUACACUAAAAACUGGGUUAAUCUAUAAAAUUAUAGAUGAGACACUGUUAAUAUGAGUAACAAGAAACUAUUCUCCAAGCACAGGUUUAUAACAACUCGGAUAACCAUUGUUAGUUAUAGGACAUUAGAUAAUAAAUACACCACUAAACUAUCUAAACCAAAACCGUUAAUCCAACACAGGAGUGCUCUAAGGAAAGAUUAAAAAGAAUAAAAGGAACUCGGCAAACAUGAAUCCCGCCUGUUUACCAAAAACAUCACCUCUAGCAUUACAAGUAUUAGAGGCACUGCCUGCCCAGUGACUAAAAUUAAACGGCCGCGGUAUCCUAACCGUGCAAAGGUAGCAUAAUAAUUUGUUCCCUAAUUAGGGACUAGUAUGAACGGCUAAACGAGAAUUCAACUGUCUCUUAUUCUUAAUCAGUGAAAUUGACCUUCCAGUGAAGAGGCCGGAAUAAAACAAUAAGACGAGAAGACCCUGUGGAGCUUUAAUUAAUUAACUUAUUUAUUAAACCCAAAACCUAAUGGAAUAAAAAUAUAAACAUAAGAUAACAAUUUCGGUUGGGGUGACCUCGGAGAACAAAUAAACCUCCGAAUGAUUGUAGCAAAGACAAACAAGUCAAAGCAAAACAUAAAAUCUUAUUGACCCAAAACAUUUUUGACCAACGGACCAAGUUACCCUAGGGAUAACAGCGCAAUCCUAUUUAAGAGUUCAUAUCGACAAUUAGGGUUUACGACCUCGAUGUUGGAUCAGGACAUCCCAAUGGCGCAGAAGCUAUUAAAGGCUCGUUUGUUCAACGAUUAAAGUCCUACGUGAUCUGAGUUCAGACCGGAGUAAUCCAGGUCGGUUUCUAUCUAUUUACAAUUUCUCCCAGUACGAAAGGACAAGAGAAAUAGAGCCAACUCACAAAUGAACGCUCUUAAACUAAUAUAUGAAUAAAUCUCAAUAUAGUAAGUGUAUAAAACAAAUAACCUAGAUAAGAA